This 458-nucleotide ribosomal RNA is filed under the name uncultured bacterium. RNAcentral describes it as "partial 16S ribosomal RNA". It matches the Rfam family "Bacterial small subunit ribosomal RNA", at positions 338 to 795 of the family's 1533-position model. The record is from RNAcentral.
CCUACGGGCGGCAGCAGUGGGGAAUAUUGCACAAUGGGGGAAACCCUGAUGCAGCGACGCCGCGUGAGUGAAGAAGUAAUUCGUUACGUAAAGCUCUAUCAGCAGGGAAGAAACACUGACCUUACGGUCAGCAGACGGUACCUGAGUAAGAAGCCCAGGAUAACUACGUGCCAGCAGCCGCGGUAAUACGUAGGGGGCAAGCGUUAUCCGGAUUUACUGGGUGGUAAGGGAGCGUAGACGGUGCGCCAAGGCUGGAGUGAAAUGCCGCAGAUUAACUGCGGAACUGCUGUGGAAACUGGCGAACUAGAGUGCGGGAGGGGUAAGCGGAAUUCCUAGUGUAGCGGUGAAAUGCGUAGAUAUUAGGAGGAACACCGGUGGCGAAGGCGGCUUACUGGACCGUAACUGACGUUGAGGCUCGAAAGCGUGGGGAGCAAACAGGAUUAGAUACCCUGGUAGUC